CCUACGGGAGGCAGCAGUGGGGAAUAUUGGGCAAUGGAGGAAACUCUGACCCAGCGACGCCGCGUGCGGGAUGAAGGCCUUCGGGUUGUAAACCGCUUUCAGUAGGGAAGAAGCGAAAGUGACGGUACCUACAAAAGAAGCACCGGCUAACUAUGUGCCAGCAGCCGCGGUAAUACAUAGGGUGCAAGCGUUGUCCGGAAUUAUUGGGCGUAAAGAGCCCGUAGGUCGUUUGUUACGUCGGAUGUGAAAACCUGAGGCUCAACCUCAGGCCUGCAUUCGAUACGGGCAAACUAGAGUUUGGUAGGGGAGACUGGAAUUCCUGGUGUAGCGGUGGAAUGCGCAGAUAUCAGGAGGAACACCAAUGGCGAAGGCAGGUCUCUGGGCCAAUACUGACACUGAGGAGCGAAAGUCUGGGGAGCGAACAGGAUUAGAUACCCUGGUAGUCCAGACCGUAAACGGUGGGCACUAGUUGUGGGAACCUUCCACGGUUUCUGCGACGCAGCUAACGCAUUAAGUGCCCCGCCUGGGGAGUACGAUCGCAAGAUUAAAACUCAAAGGAAUUGACGG
Molecule: ribosomal RNA, 567 nt
Filed under: uncultured bacterium
Lineage: Bacteria
Description: bacterial SSU rRNA
Rfam family: Bacterial small subunit ribosomal RNA
Source: RNAcentral